AUUGAACGCUGGCGGCAGGCCUAACACAUGCAAGUCGAGCGGAUGAAGGGAGCUUGCUCCUGGAUUCAGCGGCGGACGGGUGAGUAAUGCCUAGGAAUCUGCCUGGUAGUGGGGGAUAACGUCCGGAAACGGGCGCUAAUACCGCAUACGUCCUGAGGGAGAAAGUGGGGGAUCUUCGGACCUCACGCUAUCAGAUGAGCCUAGGUCGGAUUAGCUAGUUGGUGGGGUAAAGGCCUACCAAGGCGACGAUCCGUAACUGGUCUGAGAGGAUGAUCAGUCAAACUGGAACUGAGACACGGUCCAGACUCCGACGGGAAGCAGCAGUGGGGAAUAUUGGACAAUGGGCGAAAGCCUGAUCCAGCCAUGCCGCGUGUAUGAAGAAGGUCUUCGGAUUGUAAAGCACUUUAAGUUGGGAGGAAGGGCAGUAAGUUAAUACCUUGCUGUUUUGACGUUACCAACAGAAUAAGCACCGGCUAACUUCGUG
This 484-nucleotide ribosomal RNA is filed under the name uncultured bacterium. Its description in RNAcentral is "partial 16S ribosomal RNA". It matches the Rfam family "Bacterial small subunit ribosomal RNA", at positions 30 to 507 of the family's 1533-position model. The record is from RNAcentral.